This is a long non-coding RNA of Sphaerodactylus townsendi, 525 nucleotides long. RefSeq lists it as uncharacterized. The record is from RefSeq and is a predicted model, not a curated record. The transcript is spliced from 4 exons. NCBI's taxonomy places the organism in Eukaryota, Metazoa, Chordata, Lepidosauria, Squamata, Sphaerodactylidae.
GGAAGCCAUUUCCUUCCUUCUUCCAUAACUUGCAGCCCCAUCGGCUGCCACCUCCCUCCCAUUGCACAUUCAAGGAAACUCCUGAAAAGAUAGAACCGACGACAAACCAAGGCAGAGCAGAGCUGCAAGUCUGUUCAUCUUAAAAGAACUGGCUUGACGGAAGUCAGAAGGCUGUCCGAAACUGUCACGUGCACUGACAACACAUCAAGGCGGAGAAGAGUUGCAAGUCUGUUCGUCUUCAUAAAACUGGAUGGACAGAAUUCAGAAAGCAGGCCAGAACUGAAAGAAGCCUGUCUUCAUACCCACGUAAGGAAAGGAAUCUUUUCACAGUCAGAGGAGACCCAAUAGAAGAAGAAGAUGGAAGAGCACAACCUAGGAGGACCUGGACUUGGAAAGAGAUCAAGGAAAGAGCCCAAUCCCAUCCAAGCUGGGAGUGUUGUUGCAUUCUGGAAGAGAGCUGUGCCAGAGGUCUGGGAGACCUUGAAUUCAGAAGUACUUUGCCAUUAAGCUUCCAGACAGUUCCCG